Molecule: ribosomal RNA, 311 nt
Filed under: uncultured bacterium
Lineage: Bacteria
Description: bacterial SSU rRNA
Rfam family: Bacterial small subunit ribosomal RNA
Source: RNAcentral
AACGAACGCUGGCGGCGUGGAUAAGACAUGCAAGUCGAACGGGAUAACAUCUGUAGCAAUACAGGUGUUAUUUAGUGGCGAACGGGUGCGUAACACGUGGGGAAUCUGCCGAGAAGUGGGGGAUAGCUCGCCGAAAGGCGAAUUAAUACCGCAUAUGGUCAGUGAAGACAUACUUCACAACACCAAAGCCGGGGCAACCUGGCGCUUUUUGAUGACCCCGCGGCCUAUCAGCAGUUGGUGAGGUAACGGCCCACCAAGGCUAUGACGGGUAGCUGGUCUGAGAGGACGACCAGUCACACUGGAACUGAGAC